RNAcentral lists this ribosomal RNA (480 nucleotides) under uncultured bacterium. Its description in RNAcentral is "bacterial SSU rRNA". It matches the Rfam family "Bacterial small subunit ribosomal RNA", at positions 328 to 793 of the family's 1533-position model. The record is from RNAcentral.
UCAGUCGACUCCUACGGGGAGGCAGCAGUGGGGAAGUAUUGCACAAUGGGGGAAACCCUGAUGCAGCCAUGCCGCGUAGUGUGAAGAAGGCCUUCGGGUUGUAAAGCACUUUCAGUAGGGAGGAAGGUAGUGUAGUUAACACCUGCAUUAUUUGACGUUACCUACAGAAGAAGCACCGGCUAACUCCGUGCCAGCAGCCGCGGUAAUACGGAGGGUGCGAGCGUUAAUCGGAAUUACUGGGCGUAAAGCGCAUGCAGGCGGCCUGUUAAGUCAGAUGUGAAAGCCCGGGGCUUAACCUCGGAAUUGCAUUUGAAACUAGGCAGGCUAGAGUCUUGUAGAGGGGGGUAGGAAUUUCAGGUGUAGCGGUGAAAUAGCGUAGAGAUCUGAAGGAAUACCAGUGGCGAAGGCGGCCCCCUCGGACAAAGACUGACGCUCAGAUGCGAAAGCGUGGGGAGCAAACAGGAUUAGAUACCCUGGUAG